GCCGGGCCUGGUGGCGAGCGCCUGUAAUCCCAGCUACUUGGGAGGCUGAGGCGGGAGAAUAGCUUGAACCCAGGAGGUGGAGGUUGCAGUGAGCCGAGAUUGCAGGGCCACUGCACUCCAACCUGGGUGACAGAGCAAGACUCCAUCUCAA
Unclassified non-coding RNA from Papio anubis (olive baboon), 151 nucleotides. It matches the Rfam family "Metazoan signal recognition particle RNA". Rfam says of the family: The signal recognition particle (SRP) is a universally conserved ribonucleoprotein. It is involved in the co-translational targeting of proteins to membranes. Lineage: Eukaryota; Metazoa; Chordata; Mammalia; Primates; Cercopithecidae. The record is from Ensembl.